UGGGGCGUCGCCAAGUGGUAAGGCAGCGGAUUUUGAUUCCGCCAUGCGGAGGUUCGAAUCCUCCCGCCCCAGCCA
RNAcentral lists this transfer RNA (75 nucleotides) under Chelatococcus asaccharovorans. RNAcentral describes it as "tRNA-Gln". It matches the Rfam family "tRNA". Rfam says of the family: Transfer RNA (tRNA) molecules are approximately 80 nucleotides in length. Their secondary structure includes four short double-helical elements and three loops (D, anti-codon, and T loops). Further hydrogen bonds mediate the characteristic L-shaped molecular structure. tRNAs have two regions of fundamental functional importance: the anti-codon, which is responsible for specific mRNA codon recognition, and the 3' end, to which the tRNAs corresponding amino acid is attached (by aminoacyl-tRNA synthetases). tRNAs cope with the degeneracy of the genetic code in two manners: having more than one tRNA (with a specific anti-codon) for a particular amino acid; and 'wobble' base-pairing, i.e. permitting non-standard base-pairing at the 3rd anti-codon position. Lineage: Bacteria; Pseudomonadati; Pseudomonadota; Alphaproteobacteria; Hyphomicrobiales; Chelatococcaceae. RNAcentral also lists the same sequence under 30 other names. The record is from RNAcentral.